RNAcentral lists this ribosomal RNA (478 nucleotides) under uncultured bacterium. Its description in RNAcentral is "partial 16S ribosomal RNA". It matches the Rfam family "Bacterial small subunit ribosomal RNA", at positions 28 to 523 of the family's 1533-position model. The record is from RNAcentral.
GACGAACGCUGGCGGCGUGCUUAACACAUGCAAGUCGAACGGUAAGGCCCUUCGGGGUACACGAGUGGCGAACGGGUGAGUAACACGUGGGUGAUCUGCCCUGCACUUCGGGAUAAGCCUGGGAAACUGGGUCUAAUACCGGAUAGGACUCCUGGCUUCAUGGAUGGGGGUGGAAAGCUUUUGCGGUGUGGGAUGGGCCCGCGGCCUAUCAGCUUGUUGGUGGGGUAAUGGCCUACCAAGGCGACGACGGGUAGCCGGCCUGAGAGGGUGACCGGUUACACUGGGACUGAGAUACGGCCCAGACUCCUACGGGAGGCAGCAGUGGGGAAUAUUGCACAAUGGGCGCAAGCCUGAUGCAGCGACGCCGCGUGAGGGAUGACGGCCUUCGGGUUGUAAACCUCUUUCAGCUAUGACGAAGCGCAAGUGACGGUAGUAGCAGAAGAAGGACCGGCUAACUACGUGCCAGCCGCCGCGGUAA